UACGGAGGGUGCAAGCGUUGUCCGGAUUUAUUGGGUUUAAAGGGUGCGUAGGCGGCCGAUUAAGUCUGGGGUGAAAGCCCGUUGCUCAACAACGGAACUGCCCUGGAAACUGGUCGGCUUGAGUACAGACGAGGGUGGCGGAAUGGAUGCUGUAGCGGUGAAAUGCAUAGAUAGCAUCCAGAACCCCCGAUUGCGAAGGC
Molecule: ribosomal RNA, 200 nt
Filed under: uncultured bacterium
Lineage: Bacteria
Description: partial 16S ribosomal RNA
Rfam family: Bacterial small subunit ribosomal RNA
Source: RNAcentral